This 440-nucleotide ribosomal RNA is filed under the name uncultured bacterium. RNAcentral describes it as "partial 16S ribosomal RNA". It matches the Rfam family "Bacterial small subunit ribosomal RNA", at positions 338 to 795 of the family's 1533-position model. The record is from RNAcentral.
CCUACGGGGAGCAGCAGUGGGGAAUAUUGCACAAUGGGGGAAACCCUGAUGCAGCGACGCCGCGUGAGUGAAGAAGUAUUUCGGUAUGUAAAGCUCUAUCAGCAGGGAAGAAAAUGACGGUACCUGAUUAAGAAGCCCCGGCUAACUACGUGCCAGCAGCCGCGGUAAUACGUAGGGGGCAAGGGUUAUCCGGAUGUACUGGGUGUAAAGGGAGCGUAGACGGCAGCACAAGUCUGGAGUGAAAUGCCGGGGCUUAACCCGGGCAUUGCUUGGGAAACUGUGCAGCUUGAGUGCAGGGAAGGUAGGUGGAAUUCCUGGUGUAGCGGUGAAUGGCGUAGAUAUGAGGAGGAACCCCGGUGGCGAAGGCGGCUUGCUGCAUUGUAACGGACGUUGAGGCUCGAAAGCGGGGGGAGCAAACAGGAUUAGAUACCCUUGUAGUC